GGGGUCGACUGGUUUUGACAGCAAGUCGAAUUGAAUUGUAAGCACGUCGAGCAUUGUACCUUUUGCUCGUAAAUCCAAAGGCACAAACUUAUAAACGGCGAAAAUAACUACGCUUUAGCUGCAUAAUCCGAAUUAUAGUAAGAUUAAGCCACGUCCCUACUAGGUAGGGAAGCUGGAUUCUCCUCAACAGCCCUGGUUUAUGGCGUUUGAUCCUGGAGAACCGUAAAAGUAAACCUAGGAAAGGUAAUGUUCUGAAUCCUUUCUGACACUGAUAGAGCUAAGCAUCGGGUCGCUGUCUUUGGCAAAACCCAGUGUCGAAAACCUAAUCAGAGACUAAACGUGUAGAAAGCUCUUUAGUUGCUUGUUUGGACGGGAGUUCGACUCUCCCCGACUCCACAU
Molecule: transfer-messenger RNA, 399 nt
Filed under: Flavobacteriaceae
Lineage: Bacteria; Pseudomonadati; Bacteroidota; Flavobacteriia; Flavobacteriales
Also listed under: 1 other name
Description: Flavobacterium sp023213215 Standard tmRNA
Rfam family: transfer-messenger RNA
About the family: Bacterial tmRNA, also known as 10Sa RNA or SsrA, is named for its dual tRNA and mRNA-like properties. Its role is to liberate the mRNA from a stalled ribosome.
Source: RNAcentral